Molecule: ribosomal RNA, 400 nt
Filed under: uncultured bacterium
Lineage: Bacteria
Description: bacterial SSU rRNA
Rfam family: Bacterial small subunit ribosomal RNA
Source: RNAcentral
UGGGGAAUAUUGCACAAUGGGCGAAAGCCUGAUGCAGCGACGCCGCGUGAGGGAUGAAGGUCUUCGGAUUGUAAACCUCUUUCAGUAGGGACGAAGCGAAAGUGACGGUACCUAAAGAAGAAGCACCGGCUAACUACGUGCCAGCAGCCGCGGUAAUACGUAGGGUGCAAGCGUUGUCCGGAUUUAUUGGGCGUAAAGAGCUCGUAGGCGGUUAGACACGUCGGAUGUGAAAACUGGUGGCUCAACCACCAGCCUGCAUUCGAUACGGUCUGACUUGAAUGUGGUAGGGGUAACUGGAAUUCCUGGUGUAGCGGUGAAAUGCGCAGAUAUCAGGAGGAACACCGAUGGCGAAGGCAGGUUACUGGGCCACUAUUGACGCUGAGGAGCGAAAGCGUGGGGA